This 132-nucleotide ribosomal RNA is filed under the name Castanediella sp. RNAcentral's name for it is "partial large subunit ribosomal RNA". The record is from RNAcentral. Lineage: Eukaryota; Fungi; Ascomycota; Sordariomycetes; Amphisphaeriales; Castanediellaceae.
GCAUCGGUUUCCGUAGGGGGAUAAAAGCUUUAGGAAUGUGGCUCUUCGGAGUGUUAUAGCCUAUUGUAUAAUACCUUUAUGGGGACCGAGGUACGCGCUCUGCAAGGAUGCUGGCGUAAUGGUCAUCAACGA